GACGAACGCUGGCGGCGUGCUUAACACAUGCAAGUCGAACGGUAAGGCCCUACCUUUGUCUUCUGCUCGAGUGGCGAACGGGUGAGUAACACGUGAGUAACCUGCCCUUUACUUUGGGAUAACUUCAGGAAACUGGGGCUAAUACCGGAUAGCAGCUCCUGCUGCAUGGUGUGUGUUGGAAAGUUUCGGUGGCUGGGGAUGGACUCGCGGCUUCUCAGUUUUUUGGUGGGGUAGUGGUUUACCAAGGCGUUGACGGGUAGCCGGACUGAGAGGGUGACCGGCCACAGAGGGACUGAGAUGCGGCCCAGACGGAUACGGGAGGCAGCAGUGGGGAAUAGUGCACAAAGGGCGGAAGCCUGAUGCAGCAACGUCGGGUGCGGGAUGACGGCCUUAGGGGUGGAAACCGCGUGCGCCUGUGAAGAAGAGUGAGUGACGGUAAUGGGUAAAGAAGCAACGGCUAACUACGUG
This 468-nucleotide ribosomal RNA is filed under the name uncultured bacterium. RNAcentral describes it as "partial 16S ribosomal RNA". It matches the Rfam family "Bacterial small subunit ribosomal RNA", at positions 28 to 507 of the family's 1533-position model. The record is from RNAcentral.